RNAcentral lists this ribosomal RNA (682 nucleotides) under Rhizobium sp. 111117_136_C_A2. Its description in RNAcentral is "bacterial SSU rRNA". It matches the Rfam family "Bacterial small subunit ribosomal RNA", at positions 19 to 749 of the family's 1533-position model. Lineage: Bacteria; Pseudomonadati; Pseudomonadota; Alphaproteobacteria; Hyphomicrobiales; Rhizobiaceae. The record is from RNAcentral.
AUGGCUCAGAACGAACGCUGGCGGCAGGCUUAACACAUGCAAGUCGAACGCCCCGCAAGGGGAGUGGCAGACGGGUGAGUAACGCGUGGGAACAUACCCUUUCCUGCGGAAUAGCUCCGGGAAACUGGAAUUAAUACCGCAUACGCCCUACGGGGGAAAGAUUUAUCGGGGAAGGAUUGGCCCGCGUUGGAUUAGCUAGUUGGUGGGGUAAAGGCCUACCAAGGCGACGAUCCAUAGCUGGUCUGAGAGGAUGAUCAGCCACAUUGGGACUGAGACACGGCCCAAACUCCUACGGGAGGCAGCAGUGGGGAAUAUUGGACAAUGGGCGCAAGCCUGAUCCAGCCAUGCCGCGUGAGUGAUGAAGGCCUUAGGGUUGUAAAGCUCUUUCACCGAUGAAGAUAAUGACGGUAGUCGGAGAAGAAGCCCCGGCUAACUUCGUGCCAGCAGCCGCGGUAAUACGAAGGGGGCUAGCGUUGUUCGGAAUUACUGGGCGUAAAGCGCACGUAGGCGGAUAUUUAAGUCAGGGGUGAAAUCCCGCAGCUCAACUGCGGAACUGCCUUUGAUACUGGGUAUCUUGAGUAUGGAAGAGGUAAGUGGAAUUCCGAGUGUAGAGGUGAAAUUCGUAGAUAUUCGGAGGAACACCAGUGGCGAAGGCGGCUUACUGGUCCAUUACUGACGCUGA